GUGUCAGCAGCCGCGGUAAUACGUAGGGUGCGAGCGUUAAUCGGAAUUACUGGGCGUAAAGCGUGCGCAGGCGGUUUUGUAAGACAGGCGUGAAAUCCCCGGGCUUAACCUGGGAACUGCGUUUGUGACUGCAAGGCUAGAGUACGGCAGAGGGGGGUGGAAUUCCACGUGUAGCAGUGAAAUGCGUAGAGAUGUGGAGGAACACCAAUGGCGAAGGCAGCCCCCUGGGUCGAUACUGACGCUCAUGCACGAAAGCGUGGGUAGCAAACAGGAUUAGAAACCCUCGUAGUCC
Molecule: ribosomal RNA, 292 nt
Filed under: uncultured bacterium
Lineage: Bacteria
Description: partial 16S ribosomal RNA
Rfam family: Bacterial small subunit ribosomal RNA
Source: RNAcentral